This 497-nucleotide ribosomal RNA is filed under the name uncultured bacterium. RNAcentral describes it as "partial 16S ribosomal RNA". It matches the Rfam family "Bacterial small subunit ribosomal RNA", at positions 28 to 507 of the family's 1533-position model. The record is from RNAcentral.
GAUGAACGCUGGCGGCGUGCCUAAUACAUGCAAGUCGAGCGAACAGACGAGGAGCUUGCUCCUCUGACGUUAGCGGCGGACGGGUGAGUAACACGUGGAUAACCUACCUAUAAGACUGGGAUAACUUCGGGAAACCGGAGCUAAUACCGGAUAAUAUAUUGAACCGCAUGGUUCAAUAGUGAAAGACGGUUUUGCUGUCACUUAUAGAUGGAUCCGCGCCGCAUUAGCUAGUUGGUAAGGUAACGGCUUACCAAGGCAACGAUGCGUAGCCGACCUGAGAGGGUGAUCGGCCACACUGGAACUGAGACACGGUCCAGACUCCUACGGGAGGCAGCAGUAGGGAAUCUUCCGCAAUGGGCGAAAGCUUGACGGAGCAACGCCGCGUGAGUGAUGAAGGUCUUCGGAUCGUAAAACUCUGUUAUUAGUGAAGAACAAAUGUGUAAGUAACUAUGCACGUCUUGACGGUACCUAAUCAGAAAGCCACGGCUAACUACGUG